CGAUGAAGAACGCAGCGAAAUGCGAUAAGUAAUGUGAAUUGCAGAUUUUCAGUGAAUCAUCGAAUCUUUGAACGCACCUUGCGCCCCUUGGUAUUCCGAGGGGCAUGCCUGUUUGAGUGUCAUUAAAUCCUCAACCGCGCCGAUCGAUUUCGGUGGGGCUUGGACUUUGGAGCGUGCUGGCGAAGGUCGGCUCCUCUUUAAAUGCAUCAGCGGAAGAAACCUUUGUCUUUCCUGCCCUUCGGUGUGAUAAUCGUGUUGCGCCGCGGUGGAACUUCAACGAUCCGCUUACAAUGGUCUUCGGACGAAUACCUCAUGUCAUCUUGACCUCAAAUCAGGUAGGACUACCCGCUGAACUUAA
Molecule: ribosomal RNA, 358 nt
Filed under: uncultured Tylospora
Lineage: Eukaryota; Fungi; Basidiomycota; Agaricomycetes; Atheliales; Atheliaceae
Description: eukaryotic LSU rRNA
Rfam family: 5.8S ribosomal RNA (bases 1-122)
Source: RNAcentral